Molecule: ribosomal RNA, 433 nt
Filed under: uncultured bacterium
Lineage: Bacteria
Description: partial 16S ribosomal RNA
Rfam family: Bacterial small subunit ribosomal RNA
Source: RNAcentral
AACGAACGCUGGCGGCAUGCCUAACACAUGCAAGUCGAACGAGACCUUCGGGUCUAGUGGCGCACGGGUGCGUAACGCGUGGGAACCUGCCCUUAGGUUCGGAAUAACUCCCCGAAAGGGGUGCUAAUACCGGAUAAUGUCUUCGGACCAAAGAUUUAUCGCCUUUGGAUGGGCCCGCGUUGGAUUAGCUAGUUGGUAGGGUAAAAGCCUACCAAGGCGACGAUCCAUAGCUGGUCUGAGAGGAUGAUCAGCCACACUGGGACUGAGACACGGCCCAGACUCCUACGGGAGGCAGCAGUGGGGAAUAUUGGACAAUGGGCGAAAGCCUGAUCCAGCAAUGCCGCGUGAGUGAUGAAGGCCUUAGGGUUGUAAAGCUCUUUUACCCGGGAUGAUAAUGACAGUACCGGGAGAAUAAACUCCGGCUAACUCCGUG